RNAcentral lists this long non-coding RNA (2790 nucleotides) under Homo sapiens (human). RNAcentral describes it as "HSALNT0116776". The record is from RNAcentral. Lineage: Eukaryota; Metazoa; Chordata; Mammalia; Primates; Hominidae.
UCUAAGCUGUGAGUAGUAAUUUGCAGCAUGAUGGUGAGGUGAAAUGACAGAGGCUCAUGGCAUGUCGUUGCAGAAUAUCCACUAGACUUUCACAAGUCACCAGUCAUGGAUUUCAGGAUCUGACUCUUGUCAUCUUGGGAGACGUCAGGAUCUGACUGCUCGUCUUCACGGGAGACGUCAGGAUCUGAAUGCUUGUCUUCAUGGGAGAGUCAGGUCAUUUCUCGUGGUGACUGGAGAAAGCUCUCUACAGAAACGCCUGUCAUCCAUGCCUUCACCUACGCGAGAGCAUCCUCUGCUCCCUAGACCACACCAGGACAGUUCUGCACGGACCUAAGGAGCUCACAGCCCAGCCCCCUCCCCGGGGAAAUCUCUGCACUCCGGACUGGUAAUUUCCAGGGCAUGGUCUGCCUUUCUCAGCUUCGUGGGAAGCACCUUUGGUUCAGCCUCGCUGGUGAGGGUGGAGGCUGCCUCCCGUCCCCUCCUUGUUCACCAGCAGGCGUCAGCAGGGCUGCUAUUGGACCCCUUUAGACCAAGGCGCAACCUGGCUCCUCUGUUCUCAACAGGAUCAGAAAUGUCACGCAGGUCGUAUCUGGAGUGGUUCUCUUUUUCCCUUUUGUGGAGGGUUAGAGUGGUAUUCACACCUAGGCACGUCUACGUCUGAAAUCUGUGAUAGACUGAAUGUGUCUCCCUCCCAAAUUCAAGUGCUAACCCUCGGACCCCAGAAUGUGAUUGCAUUUGGAGACAGGGCCUUUAAGGAGGUGAUCGAGUUAAAUGAGGUCAUAUGUGUCCCCUAAUCCAUCGUGACUGGUCCUUAUUAGAGGAGAUGAGGACACUGACACAUGGGACGACGGCCACAGGAGGACACAGGGGAAGACGGCUGUCUACACAGCAAGGAGAGAGUCUGCAGGGGACACCAGUCCCGCCAAUACCUUGACCCUGGACUUCCAGCCUCCAGGACUGAGAGAGAACAGCUGAACAGAUUCAGAGGUCCACUACGUGGCACGUAGCAGCCAUUCAUUCACUCACUGUGCCUGCUCCCUUGAGCCUGGCUGUAAUCUGGCUGAUAACAUUCAUUCAUUCAUUCAUUCAUUCAUUCAUCAGGUAUUUCCUGUGGGCCUACCAUGUGCCAGGCAUGGGCUAGGUUGGUUCUGGGGUAAAAAUGGUCCUUUGCCCAAGCUACUGAUGGAAUCACAGAGACGAUGGGGAAAAUCAGUGAGUAAACAAGCUGAAGACGGAAGGCAGAGACUCGGAGCAGAGCCCGACCAUUCUGCUGGUGUGGGGAGAGGGUGGAAGCCUUGUCCAGGGAGGUGGAGAGGCCACAGCAGGAGAAGCAUGCCCAGGCUGAGACCAGAAGGAUGAGAGGGACCAGAAGGAGGAAGAGCUGGACUGGGACAGGGUGAGGUUGUGGUCGGCUUAAGUGGCUGCCAGUGGCUCAGUUCAUCUGCAGAAAGCAGCAGGGAGAAGGGUGAAAGGAGACUGGGGAUGGAGAAUCAGGGCCACCCCUUACAACCCUGUCUUAGGGUGUGGCCUUGGUCCACGGGGAGCAGGAAGUCAGGAGCGGUGUCAGGCAGGAGGGCAGUGGGCGUAGGUUCCUUGUGACCUGUGAGCAGAGAGGGGCUGAAAGCCGGGCCUGGUCCAUGCUAAGGGGUGCGAAGGGGAGAGCAUUUUCCACCAGGGCUCAGGUGGUGUCAUCAGGGAUGGGGCAGGGGCAGCGGCAGGGCCCUGAGAGCUGUGCCACUUCGUGAUGCCACUGCGACCCUUGCCACUGUGUUUCAGGGGUGCAAUGCUGCAGGUGAAAUUGAUGCAGACCCAGGCUUCAGACCUGUUCUCCUAGACUGCAGUGGUGCGAUGACAGCUCACUGCAGCCUUGACCUCUGGGUUCAAGAGAUCCUCCUGCCUCAGCCUCCCAAGUAGCUGGCACACGCCACCACACCUGGCUAUUUUCUUUUAAUUUUUUAUUUGUUUGUAGGGACAGGGUCUCACCAUGUUGCCCAGGCUGGUCUCCAACUCCUGGGCUCAAGCGAAUCUCCCACUUCAGCCUCCCACAGUGCUGGGAUUACAGGUGUGAGCCACCAUGCCUGGCCUAGUUUGGGUAACUUUGAGUCACCUGAAGAGUCAGCCUCAGCCCCAGAGGGUUCUCCCUUCCCCAGGGUGCUGUGUUUGCAUGGGAGCACAGAACCAUUGCCCCUGCAGGGCUUUUCAGUGGAACCGAGUGUCCCCACACGAGCUUUGUCUCCGGAUGCACACGAGGAGAUUCUGCAGCACAGUGGAGCCGAUUAAGCCAUUACAGCUUUCCAGAGGGAAAAGAAAAUUUAGGACGUGUAGAAACUAAGUCUUUGCCCACAAUCAAGUUUCCAUUCAAAUUAUGAGAAGGAAGUGAUUGAAUGAGAAUGAGAUGACCUUCCCCUUCCCCCAUGGAUUUUCCUCCCUCUGGCUCUCUCUGCUCCUGACACGAGCACUGCACCAAGGCGACAGCCCUGGGCACCCAGGCUGACUCCUGCACUCGGGCACGGACCUCACGGCUGGGCUGACUCCCGCACUCGGGCGCUGAGCUCAUGGCCGGUUCUGAAGAACUCUGGUUCUGCUCAUGCCCCACAUCAAAAUGGCCAAGUCUUCAGAUUUGGGAUUUCCCAAGCCAAAAGUAUUUUCAUAGAAUUGUAUUUCAAUAUUUACAUUAUCUUUAAAGAAAGUCCAGCUAAAAAUCAAAAAUAAAUAAAAAUGUAAAAAAUAAAACAAUCCCAGAGAGAAGUGGGGUCUACUUGAAUGCAAUGCAACAUGAAGUGGACAUCU